ACGCGAAAGUCCCCUUCGGGGGACAAGUAGAGUGGCGCACGGGUGAGUAACACGUAGGUAAUCUACCUUCGGGUGGGGAAUAACCCCGGGAAACCGGGGCUAAUACCGCAUAAUGCAGCGGCACCUAAUGGUGACAGUUGUUAAAGCGGGGGAUCGCAAGAUCUCGCGCCUGAAGAGGAGCCUGCGGCGGAUUAGCUAGUUGGCAGGGUAACGGCCUACCAAGGCGACGAUCCGUAGCCGGCCUGAGAGGGCGGUCGGCCACACUGACACUGACAUACGGGUCAGACUCCUACGGGAGGCAGCAGUCGGGAAUUUUGGGCAAUGGGCGAAAGCCUGACCCAGCAACGCCGCGUGAAGGAUGAAAUCCCUCGGGAUGUAAACUUCGCAAGAACGGGAAGAAUAAGUUUGUGCUAACACCACAAGCGAUGACGGUACUGUUUGUAAGCUCCGGCUAACUCCGUGCCAGCAGCCGCGGUAAUACGGGGGGAGCAAGCGUUGUUCGGAUUUACUGGGCGUAAAGGGCGCGUAGGCGGCCUCCGCAAGUCAGUUGUGAAAUCUCCGAGCUUAACUCGGAAAGGUCAACUGAUACUGCGGGGCUAGAGUGCGGAAGGGGCAACUGGAAUUCUUGGUGUAGCGGUGAAAUGCGUAGAUAUCAAGAGGAACACCUGCGGCGAAGGCGGGUUGCUGGGCCGACACUGAC
RNAcentral lists this ribosomal RNA (700 nucleotides) under uncultured bacterium. Its description in RNAcentral is "bacterial SSU rRNA". It matches the Rfam family "Bacterial small subunit ribosomal RNA", at positions 66 to 744 of the family's 1533-position model. The record is from RNAcentral.